GCCGAUGUAGCUCAGUUGGUAGAGCAGUUGAUUUGUAAUCAGCGGGUCGGGGGUUCGAAUCCCUCCAUCGGCUCCA
Molecule: transfer RNA, 76 nt
Filed under: Nitrospirota bacterium
Lineage: Bacteria; Pseudomonadati; Nitrospirota
Also listed under: 1 other name
Description: Nitrospirae bacterium (marine metagenome) tRNA-Thr
Rfam family: tRNA
About the family: Transfer RNA (tRNA) molecules are approximately 80 nucleotides in length. Their secondary structure includes four short double-helical elements and three loops (D, anti-codon, and T loops).
Source: RNAcentral